Molecule: long non-coding RNA, 723 nt
Organism: Dendronephthya gigantea
Lineage: Eukaryota; Metazoa; Cnidaria; Anthozoa; Malacalcyonacea; Nephtheidae
Exons: 4
Source: RefSeq, a predicted model, not a curated record
CACCAUUCAACAUUAGUACACUAUACGUUGCACAACCAAACCAAAUAUCAAAAAUACAAACUAUGGCGUCGUUUUGCCUGAAGACAGUUUUACUAUUGAUGUUCUUCACCUACUUAACUUCUACAGAUGCUCAAACUUGACCACCACCUACUAAAGGUGCCCCCGCUGCCUUUUGCGGAGCACAAUUGAAAGCCGGUGUAGAACUGAAGGUUGAAAGAAAGAGAGACAUAAGGAGUGAAGAUGAAAUUAUUGACCGAUUGCUGGCAAUGAAGAAUUAGGAGGAACCUUGGCAGACACUGUUGAAGACAAGUGCAAUAAUUUAAAAAAAAAGGAUGAUUAACAGAUUAAGUGUAUAUGAUUACCAAAGUAUAAUUUGCAAUAUUUUCGGGUGGUAAGGCAAUUGAUUUAAAAUAUUUGAUCGUGCUUGCUUCGAUCCGGUUUCGUCUCACCAAAUGACUGUUCAACCGUUCAAUGUUGUCUGAAUAUUCAUACUAACCUUCUAUAUAGUUACCCGACCAGCAUUAAUCUUUUCAGUCUUAUCAAAGAGUCAGUAGCUAAGCAAUUUUUCUAAACAAGAAACGAGAUUGCCUUUUCUCUUGAAAUGUUUCAAAUCCGCUAUAGAAAUAAUUUCAAUUUUUAGAGAAUUUCGUUUUACCAUUUUAAUGACAGUGUUCUUAGUGAUAAUGACAGCAAUUUGGUCAAAUCUUUGUGAAACCAUUUGCU